Potamilus streckersoni is the source of this 67-nucleotide non-coding RNA. NCBI's taxonomy places the organism in Eukaryota, Metazoa, Mollusca, Bivalvia, Unionida, Unionidae. The record is from the annotation of a GenBank genome assembly.
GGUGGCCUAGUGGUUAGAGCGUCAGCCUCGGAUGUGGUCGGCUAGGGUUCGAUCCCCGGCUUAGUCA